GUCCCCUUCGUCUAGUGGUCUAGGACGCUGCGUUCUCAACGCGGAAACACGAGUUCGAAACUCGUAGGGGACACCA
RNAcentral lists this transfer RNA (76 nucleotides) under Candidatus Pelagibacteraceae bacterium. RNAcentral describes it as "tRNA-Glu". It matches the Rfam family "tRNA". Rfam says of the family: Transfer RNA (tRNA) molecules are approximately 80 nucleotides in length. Their secondary structure includes four short double-helical elements and three loops (D, anti-codon, and T loops). Lineage: Bacteria; Pseudomonadati; Pseudomonadota; Alphaproteobacteria; Candidatus Pelagibacterales; Candidatus Pelagibacteraceae. The record is from RNAcentral.